CCCGCACAAGCGGCGGAGCAUGCGGUAUUAAUUCGAUGCAACGCGAAGAACCUUACCAAGGCUUGACAUACACCGGAAACGGCCAGAGAUGGUCGCCCCCUUGUGGUCGGUGUACAGGUGGUGCAUGGUUGUCGUCAGCUCGUGUCGUGAGAUGUUGGGUUAAGUCCCGCAACGAGCGCAACCCUCGUUCUAUGUUGCCAGCGCGUUAUGGCGGGGACUCAUAGGAGACUGCCGGGGUCAACUCGGAGGAAGGUGGGGAUGACGUCAAAUCAUCAUGCCCCUUAUGUCUUGGGCUUCACGCAUGCUACAAUGGCCGGUACAAAGGGCUGCGAUACCGUAAGGUGGAG
This 347-nucleotide ribosomal RNA is filed under the name Curtobacterium sp. Its description in RNAcentral is "bacterial SSU rRNA". It matches the Rfam family "Bacterial small subunit ribosomal RNA", at positions 920 to 1267 of the family's 1533-position model. The record is from RNAcentral. Lineage: Bacteria; Bacillati; Actinomycetota; Actinomycetes; Micrococcales; Microbacteriaceae.